This 74-nucleotide transfer RNA is filed under the name Corynebacterium hindlerae. Its description in RNAcentral is "Corynebacterium sp. NML93-0612 tRNA-Arg". It matches the Rfam family "tRNA". Rfam says of the family: Transfer RNA (tRNA) molecules are approximately 80 nucleotides in length. Their secondary structure includes four short double-helical elements and three loops (D, anti-codon, and T loops). RNAcentral also lists the same sequence under 5 other names. Lineage: Bacteria; Bacillati; Actinomycetota; Actinomycetes; Mycobacteriales; Corynebacteriaceae. The record is from RNAcentral.
CCCUCCUUAGCUCAGCGGAUCAGAGCAGACGGCUUCUACCCGUAAGGUCGCAGGUUCGAAUCCUGCAGGGGGGG